GAUGAACGCUGGCGGCGUGCUUAACACAUGCAAGUCGAACGGAAAGGCCCAAGCUUGCUUGGGUUCUCGAGUGGCGAACGGGUGAGUAACACGUGGGUGAUCUGCCCUGCACUUCGGGAUAAGCCUGGGAAACUGGGUCUAAUACCGGAUAGGACCACUUCUUGGAUGUUGUGGUGGAAAGUUUUUCGGUGUGGGAUGAGCUCGUGGCCUAUCAGCGUGUUGGUGGGGUAAUGGCUUACCAAGGCGUCGACGGGUAGCCGGCCUGAGAGGGUGUACGGCCAGAUUGGGACUGAGAUACGGCCCAGACUCCUACGGGAGGCAGCAGUGGGGAAUAGUGCGCAAUGGGCGCAAGCCGGAUGCAGCGACGCCGCGUGGGGGAUGACGGCCUUCGGGUUGUGAACUCCUUUCGCUAGGGACGAAGCUUAUUUUGUGACGGUACCUGGAGAAGAAGCACCGGCUAACUACGUG
This 468-nucleotide ribosomal RNA is filed under the name uncultured bacterium. RNAcentral describes it as "partial 16S ribosomal RNA". It matches the Rfam family "Bacterial small subunit ribosomal RNA", at positions 28 to 507 of the family's 1533-position model. The record is from RNAcentral.